Molecule: long non-coding RNA, 510 nt
Filed under: Jatropha curcas
Lineage: Eukaryota; Viridiplantae; Streptophyta; Magnoliopsida; Malpighiales; Euphorbiaceae
Description: long non-coding RNA (JCUR_LNC002564)
Source: RNAcentral
AAAUUCGUCCUCGAAAUUUAAAUGUAACAAGUAACUAGGAAACAAUGGUGGUUGUGCUUCUCACAUAGUGCUGCAACUGAUAAAAGUUAUUACAUUCACAUUCAGUAGAAUACUCGUUCUUCUGAGCAGCUAGAAGGAUGAAUCAAGAAGAUGAGAUAAGUAUUUUUGAGUUCGUUAAUCCGACCAGUGGAACUUUUUUUUUUUUUUAAAUUUACGAAGACAAACCAAUGGGAAGAAAAUUUAAUUUAUAGGGAAGGUAGGAUGAUUAUGAGAUGAAUCUAGCCCCAAAGUUACCUACCUUAUUACCAUAGUUAAUUUAAACUUGAGUUGUACUAUAUCCACAAGUCGUCAAGUCAAGUCAAAUAUUCAUAACCUAAAGUACAGAUUCGACACUAAUAUUCACCUUUACACAUAAGAAUUUUAAUCGCUUAUAACCUCUGCUCAAGUAAGGGUUAUUAAUCUCAUUAGCUCUAUAUCAUGUGUCCUUACAUUGAUGUAUCGUCAUUUAUU